AUUGAACGCUGGCGGCAUGCCUUACACAUGCAAGUCGAACGGUAACAGGUCUUCGGACGCUGACGAGUGGCGAACGGGUGAGUAAUACAUCGGAACGUGCCCAGUCGUGGGGGAUAACUACUCGAAAGAGUAGCUAAUACCGCAUACGAUCUGAGGAUGAAAGCGGGGGACCUUCGGGCCUCGCGCGAUUGGAGCGGCCGAUGGCAGAUUAGGUAGUUGGGGGGAUAAAAGCUUACCAAGCCGACGAUCUGUAGCUGGUCUGAGAGGACGACCAGCCACACUGGGACUGAGACACGGCCCAGACUCCUACGGGAGGCAGCAGUGGGGAAUUUUGGACAAUGGGCGAAAGCCUGAUCCAGCAAUGCCGCGUGCAGGAUGAAGGCCUUCGGGUUGUAAACUGCUUUUGUACGGAACGAAAAAGCUCCUUCUAAUACAGGGGGCCCAUGACGGUACCGUAAGAAUAAGCACCGGCUAACUACGUGCCAGCCGCCGCUGUAA
RNAcentral lists this ribosomal RNA (498 nucleotides) under uncultured bacterium. Its description in RNAcentral is "partial 16S ribosomal RNA". It matches the Rfam family "Bacterial small subunit ribosomal RNA", at positions 30 to 523 of the family's 1533-position model. The record is from RNAcentral.